Pelobates cultripes (western spadefoot toad) is the source of this 346-nucleotide non-coding RNA. NCBI's taxonomy places the organism in Eukaryota, Metazoa, Chordata, Amphibia, Anura, Pelobatidae. The record is from the annotation of a GenBank genome assembly.
GGUUCCUUUUGUCCCUCCAGUCCAGAGUGAGUUUCCAUAUCUCAUUUAUUUAAAGCAGAAGUUCCCUAUUUAGACAAAAUUCAUUGAAUGAAAGUUUGAGGUAAUGAAUUAGAAACAUGGGUGAAGCUGGCAUCACGAAUACAGAGGUAGGGGGUGCACAGGGGACCUUAGUAAGCAUCAAACCAUUAGACACCGAUUUGACUAUGUUCUAUGGGUCGGCGCCAUGAGAUUCCAGACACCAUAAUCAUAAUAUAUUAAUGCACUGAUCAUUUUGUGUGCACAGUGCACACAGCAGAAUCAGUUUUUCUAUUCACCCUAAGUUGCCUUUCCAGGGCACGUAGUCAAC